RNAcentral lists this unclassified non-coding RNA (2623 nucleotides) under Hevea brasiliensis (rubber tree). The record is from RNAcentral. Lineage: Eukaryota; Viridiplantae; Streptophyta; Magnoliopsida; Malpighiales; Euphorbiaceae.
AAAAAAAAAAAUCCCAGUAUCAGCAAUCCCAUGCUGUGAUCUAUCUCAGGUAGGUUUAAUCAGUUGCUUGGCAGUAACCAACCUCCCUGUAAACAGAAAAAGAAAGAAAUAACAACCAUCCAAGCCUUUGUUGCUUAGCCGUGAGCAGGCAGGCUCUUAUGCAUUCUCAUGUACAAGAAAUGUACACAUGGAAUUAACAAGAUUUAGCCUGUGAAAAAAUCUUAUUUCCACGUGCUUUAUCAAUUCCUGAAUGUGAACUCUCGCAAGCUGACACCAAUUUCAUGUUGGGUACGAAUGGAACCUGGCGCUGGAGGCAAUUGCAUUGUUGAGUUUGAGUUUGGCUCUUCAAUUUCUAUGUUAUGAUCCCUAACAUCAGGAUUUUCAAUGUGUUCAGGCUCAUCAGCCUCCUGGUUGUGUACAGAAUUUGCUGCUUCAGGGUCCCAAUUAUCUAUGUCAUGGUUAUAGUUUCUUGGAGAAGCCUGCAAGCUGUCAGGAGCAGUGCUGCUACGGUAGUUAUGCAAGAGAUGGACAGGCGACAUGCCAUGUGUGGGAGUUGCUGGUCUGCUUGACAUUGGUGUUUGAGACUCAGAAUGUUUGCUGUGUUUAGCAUGUUUUUUGGCAGCAUGGUGCCAGCUCUUGAGUGCUGCUGCUACUCGGUCGUUAAAGAUGGUUGGUCUUAUGCUAGAACCCAUCUGUAAUAUCACAGACAAUAUUAGGCCUAAGAAUUUAUCAAGAGGUAUCAAUGCCUAUAAGCAAGCUAUGUAGGACAACAUACAAUCAAGCAAUGCUAUUUUGCUCACCUGUGUCACUAGAGCAUACAAAGGCAGAGUCACGUAACUGCAUAGAACCUGUAUGAUGACCCUGAAAUGUAAACAAUUUUGGAUUGUGUCAGGAAUGCUUGAAGCUGUGAAGAUGAUUUAAAGGGGGGAAAAGAAUCUGAUGUUGUGGUAAUAAAACUCACCCCAAUGUAACUUUGAUUGCAAUAUCUUCUUUGCGAUCAUGGUAGCAAGAGCCAGAUCCAAUUUUCCACUGAAAGGUAAGGCAAAAGAUAUCUUGUCAGGGUAAAACAGUUUAUAGCAUUUAACUAGUUGAACUGUUAAUCCAUGAUUGACAGGCAGAAAUGAUGCUUCUUAAAUGCUAAAAAAAAGUAUUAAAGAAAGUAAUUAUAUGCUUACCACGCUCCAUGCAAAGAGAGCCAGCUGAAAUGCAUUCUGCAAUGCAGAAGUUGAAAGUGGAAAAAAAAAAAUUGUAAGCAUGAGCAAGAAGAGGCAUAGUGUUCCUGUGAUUCAUACAUUAAAGGGAAUGGUUGAAUAGCAAGUAGUUUGCAAGUACCUGAAAGAGAACCAAGUGAAUAAGGAACAGAAUGAGGCGUGGGCGACCGAACCAGAAGAGGUCAUCGCCAGGUUGAACCACAGGAGCACCCUUAACUACAUCUCCUCUCUCUUGAAACCUUAGCCCCAUUUUAGUUAUGAUCACUUGCAGCUUAGCCCCUACCACCAAGAUUAUAACUAAGGGGAUAAAUGGUAACCAUAGAUAAGCAUACCAACCAUUUGUGCUGGUUAGCAUCAUCAAACAUGCAAUAACCCAUAAAACUGGACUGAUCCCCACCACAACUUUAAAGUCAUCUUCAAGUGAUCUGUUUAUGUAUUUUUGGAAGUCAAAUCUUGUUUCACUUCCAGGGGCCAAAUGUGCCAUGAUAAAUCCAUGUCUCAGUGUCAGGUAAUCAACCUUGGUGACUGAUCCAAAGAAUUGUCUAAAGAAACACAAAAUCCAAAUGAAAACUGUCGACCGACUCCAUAAUUUCAAAUGUCUUUUUCCAAAUGAUGUAUCCCUUGCAAACCUAAACCUCUCUGGAUCAUUAUGGUAUUGAUACUCAAUUGUCUUUGUCUCAUUCUCCCAACUCUUCCACCUUCUCAUCUUGGUUUUGCCCAAAAUAUAGGUAAUUAUGCAGUAGAGAACAUGAACAACUGCUAGUACAAAGAUGAAAUAGUGGAGCUGGUCAAUCCCAUAUGCUGAUACAAAGGCUACUUCACCCUCAUCACAUUUAUUUCCGGAUUUUGCUGCUAAAUAACGUCUAGUACUUGCUCCAGUAUCUAAGAACUGAAGAAGUCUUCGAUUAUUAUCUUUAGAAUCUGUUCCUGUCUUACUCUUGUGCUGAUUCUUGUUGCAAGGGUGCCAGGUGGAUGCAGUACUCUCUGAAAUGCAAAUUUCAGAGAUAGGACCUUGUAGUACGGUUAGGAGCAAGGAUAUAAAUCCCAUAAGCAUCAGCUCUGCUUUAAUCUUUUCAAGAGCUUCCACAAGAGCUGGCUUAUGCAUCUUCUUAAACCACUUUUCUAUCAAAUGAAACACAUGCUCAAUCAAGAUUGAAAUAGCAAUCAUCACAAGGCAGACCACAGCAACAGCCCAUGUCGGCGUCUCCCCCAGAGAACGUUCUUUUCCAGUAUCAGACAUAGUAGUAAAGCUUCCUCUUGAUGCAGAGACUCUCCAAGAAAUGGCCAAAAAAUGUUCAAAAGGACGAAAUGCAGAAGAUGCUAUUGGCAAAGUUACCUCUUGUGUAUGCAAAGUUCUAUUAUGCCCUAUGCAAAAAUUUGUGCGGAUGCGCAGAAGAGGUAGAGAGAUUGUG